RNAcentral lists this ribosomal RNA (221 nucleotides) under uncultured fungus. Its description in RNAcentral is "partial 28S ribosomal RNA". It matches the Rfam family "Eukaryotic large subunit ribosomal RNA", at positions 1 to 217 of the family's 3401-position model. Lineage: Eukaryota; Fungi. The record is from RNAcentral.
GGGUAACCUCAAAUCAGGUAGGGAUACCCGCUGAACUUAAGCAUAUCAAUAAGCGGAGGAAAAGAAACCAACAGGGAUUGCCCUAGUAACGGCGAGUGAAGCGGCAAAAGCUCAGAUUUGGAAUCUGGCGCCAUUGUGGCGUCCGAGUUGUAGUCUGAAGAGGGGAAUUCAAGUGUAGCUUUGGCUUAAGUUCCUUGGAACAGGACGUCAUAAGGGUGAAA